RNAcentral lists this long non-coding RNA (603 nucleotides) under Dermacentor andersoni. RNAcentral's name for it is "uncharacterized LOC126526306". The record is from RNAcentral. Lineage: Eukaryota; Metazoa; Arthropoda; Arachnida; Ixodida; Ixodidae.
UGUAUAAAAGGCAAGAGCUUCUGCCACGUACUAUCUUCUGAAUAAUAAUCCAGACACAUAGCAUCACAGAAAGCAGCCCAAUGAUUGUUCGUCAACCACUUCGGUGGCAGAAGUUUACUGUGGUGUUCUUUACUCUUACUUUUCAUGGCGGACACUUCGGUGCGACUUUCGAAGACCUGCUAACUCUACCAGUAUAACCUGUAUGCUGAACUGCAUAAACACUUGGAAGGACGAGCGGGACCCGUCAGGCGUGUGAGCAUGUAUCCAGGGACACCUGCAGCAGAGUACACACUUCGCUACUGGAAUAAGGAGGAGCGUUGUGCUCUUUACACUAUGACGCUCAUAAACAAGGCUACUUGUGUAAUGGACAUAUGGAAUGAAAGAAUUGGGCAGAAAUUUCCCAAAUGUUAUGCAGAAUAUUACAAACAUUGUAGGGAACAUUAUCCUGUCUACAGCUCUGACUGCAGAAAGGAGUGACUUCGUACGUGACAAGGACGGAGGCGGUCAGCAAGCGCAGCACUUGUGCGAAAAAAAAGUCAAUAAAAAGUAUAAUACACUCUUAUUCGCACGCACAACUAGUAUUAAAACGUUACUUCCUUCUCA